CCAUAAAGUCCUUUGUCUUCUACCAGGUACUGUCGGAAAACCAUUUCUGGCUGCUCUCGCUGCUUUACUAUUGUCAGCUAGGAAAAAUAACAAGGAAGUCAGAGAUGAUGGUCUGAUGAUCUGAUUGAGCUAUGAGUGGAGUUAAUGGAGCCACACAUGCAAAACAAUGUCCCCCUGCCUGCUUCCUGUAUAAUUUGGAGGAGCCAUGGUAUCCCCUCACUUCCUCUCACCAGGUGAAACCACCAGAAAGGUCUGCAGUUACCAGCUGCAGCAAGGAAGGGGAAAAUGGCCCAUAAUAUCCUGAAUGUUGUAAAGGCCUGCGUCUAGGUGAAUGUCUUACACUUCUGCAGGGAAUAGCACCAUAAUAAACCACCAUCAUCUGUACAUUUCAAAUUCUAGGAGACUUUAAUAUUGAAUCUUCUCAAUAUUAACUUGAGAAGGAAGAUGGGUGAGUAGCUGGGACUUGGUAAUAAGGCAUAAUUUUCCUGAAUUAUAGAUAUUUUAUAUUCUUUUACCCAAACUUGAGGCCUUGAAGGGCUUAGAAGGGCUAGGAUAACAAAACUCAGAGAUCACAAUUCUGAAGUUAUAAAAAAAAUUUAAAAAAUGUUCUGAAUGAUACUUCUGUAAUUAAGUAGUUUUAAGCACUGAAGCAGUCAUUCCACAGUCUGUUAAUGAAAUCAGUUGCUAUUAAGCCAUGAAGAUCUGCAUGAUUACUAAGUUAGUACUUACUAAAGUAACCCAUGGUUAACCUGUGGUGAUAUCUAUUUUUUUUUAUGUUUGUAUCUGUUAAGUGGGUAGAUUUUUAAGGUCAGUGUGAGUUUUCUAUCAAAGAUCAUGUUAUAAAAAUAUAGGACAUGCAUUUUAAAAGUCUGUAAUGAAAUUAAAAAAAAAAAAACUUGAAUAGCCAAAUUAUGGAAAGAGC
Molecule: long non-coding RNA, 922 nt
Organism: Felis catus (domestic cat)
Lineage: Eukaryota; Metazoa; Chordata; Mammalia; Carnivora; Felidae
Exons: 3
Source: RefSeq, a predicted model, not a curated record